GGGGAAUAUUGCACAAUGGGGGAAACCCUGAUGCAGCAACGCCGCGUGAGCGAUGAAGGCCUUCGGGUUGUAAAGCUCUGUCUUCUCUGACGAUAAUGACGGUAAGAGAGGAGGAAGCCACGGCUAACUACGUGCCAGCAGCCGUGGUAAUACGUAGGUGGCAAGCGUUGUCCGGAAUUAUUGGGCGUAAAGGAUGCGUAGGCGGUCUUUUAAGUGGGAUGUGAAAUACCCGGGCUUAACCUGGGAAUGGCAUUCCAAACUGGAAGACUAGAGUGCAGGAGAGGAAAGUGGAAUUCCCAGUGUAGCGGUGAAAUGCGUAGAGAUUGGGAGGAACACCAGUGGCGAAGGCGACUUUCUGGACUGUAACUGACGCUGAAGCACGAAAGCAUGGGUAGCAAAC
Molecule: ribosomal RNA, 400 nt
Filed under: uncultured bacterium
Lineage: Bacteria
Description: bacterial SSU rRNA
Rfam family: Bacterial small subunit ribosomal RNA
Source: RNAcentral